UCCAGACUCCUACGGGAGGCAGCAGUGGGGAAUAUUGCACAAUGGGGGGAACCCUGAUGCAGCGACGCCGCGUGGGUGAAGGAGCACCUCGGUGCGUAAAGCCCUAUCGGCAGGGAAGAAACAGACGGUACCUGACUAAGAAGCCCCGGCUAACUACGUGCCAGCAGCCGCGGUAAUACGUAGGGGGCAAGCGUUAUCCGGAUUCACUGGGUGUAAAGGGAGCGUAGACGGCGACGCAAGUCUGGAGUGAAAGCCCGGGGCCCAACCCCGGGACUGCUUUGGGAACUGUUUUGCUGGAGUAUGGGAGGGGUAAGCGGAAUUCCUGGUGUAGCGGUGAAAUGCGUAGAUAUCAGGAGGAACACCGGUGGCGAAGGCGGCCUGCUGGACUGCGACUGACGUUGAGGCCCGAAAGCGUGGGGAGCAAACAGGAUUAGAUACCCCGGUAUG
RNAcentral lists this ribosomal RNA (447 nucleotides) under uncultured bacterium. Its description in RNAcentral is "partial 16S ribosomal RNA". It matches the Rfam family "Bacterial small subunit ribosomal RNA", at positions 330 to 793 of the family's 1533-position model. The record is from RNAcentral.